Small nucleolar RNA from Nannospalax galili (Upper Galilee mountains blind mole rat), 131 nucleotides. The record is from Ensembl. Lineage: Eukaryota; Metazoa; Chordata; Mammalia; Rodentia; Spalacidae.
CUCCAUGCAUCAUUGGGACCUGUCAGUGGUGGCAGUCUCCUUUCCUAGCCAUGGAAGACCAUGUUCUUGUUUAUUGGCAAAGCUGUCACCAUUUAAUUGGUAUCAGAUUCUGACUUGCACAAGUAACAUUC